UACGAAGGGGGCUAGCGUUGCUCGGAAUUACUGGGCGUAAAGGGCGCGUAGGCGGACAGUUUAGUCAGAGGUGGAAAGCCCAGGGCUCAACCUUGGAAAUUGCCUUUGAUACUGGCUGUCUUGAGUUCGGGAGAGGUGAGUGGAAUCGCCGAGUGUAGAGGUGAAAUUCGUAGAUAUUCGGCGGAACACCAGUGGCGAAGGCGAGUCCCUGGACGAUACCUGACACUGAGGCACGGAAAGCUAGGGGAAGCAAACAGG
Molecule: ribosomal RNA, 258 nt
Filed under: uncultured bacterium
Lineage: Bacteria
Description: partial 16S ribosomal RNA
Rfam family: Bacterial small subunit ribosomal RNA
Source: RNAcentral